Molecule: ribosomal RNA, 468 nt
Filed under: uncultured bacterium
Lineage: Bacteria
Description: partial 16S ribosomal RNA
Rfam family: Bacterial small subunit ribosomal RNA
Source: RNAcentral
GACGAACGCUGGCGGCGUGCUUAACACAUGCAAGUCGAACGGAAAUGCCCUGCUUUUGUGGGGUGCUCGAGUGGCGAACGGGUGAGUAACACGUGAGUAACCUGCCCUUGACUUUGGGAUAACUUCAGGAAACUGGGGCUAAUACCGGAUAGGAGCUCCUGCUGCAUGGUGGGGGUUGGAAAGUUUCGGCGGUUGGGGAUGGACUCGCGGCUUAUCAGCUUGUUGGUGGGGUAGUGGCUUACCAAGGCUUUGACGGGUAGCCGGCCUGAGAGGGUGACCGGCCACAUUGGGACUGAGAUACGGCCCAGACUCCUACGGGAGGCAGCAGUGGGGAAUAUUGCACAAUGGGCGGAAGACUGAUGCAGCAACGCCGCGUGCGGGAUGACGGCCUUCGGGUUGUAAACCGCUUUCGCCUGUGACGAAGCGUGAGUGACGGUAAUGGGUAAAGAAGCACCGGCUAACUACGUG